CUGCAAGAUCUUAAAUAAUGUUGUUUAUUGCACCAAAAACAAAUAACUUUAGGAGUUAUAUUCUGCCCUAUAUUAUCAACUGCCCUAUAUUUAGUUGAAUAAAUUGGGAGGGGCUCAGCUGUCUGUAUCACUCUACACUCUGUCCUAGAAGAAGAAGAAGAAGAAGAAGGGGGACGGGGGCUGUAACAUCUGCACUUCUUUCUCUGCCUAAAGCCACAAGUCGUUUUAACCCCUUCAUUCUUGGUUUCCCUCCUUAAGUUAUCCAAGAACAAAGCUACUUCUGUCAAAGUGCUUUUUUCUCUAGCUACCACAAUUGCAGUUGGAUCUAGAUCUUGAAAUUUUUUCACAAAUUCAUUAAUUAACUGAUCUUCAGAAAAAUCAGCAACAAGUCUAUAUGCAUUUUCAAAUUUUGCAAGAAAACUAAAUAUAUCCUCCCCCUUGUGUGGUUUUAGUUUUUCCAACAUUUCAGUGUCUGCAAAAUCAUUCCCUGUUGUUAAUUUUAUUAAUUGUGUUAAUCUGUAUUGCUUAUUUCAAUAUAUUAUUUCAUCAUUGUCCUCGAAUUUUACAGGCGCGGUCAGCCUACAUGCCAUUUGAGUCGGCAGCCAUAUUUGAAAUAGUCUAUUCCUUUGUACGUCAUGUAGGCUGUAUUUGUCUAAAUUAGACUCAAACAUUUCAGCAUUAGUGAAUGCAUCCACUGACGUGUCAUAAACUGGAAUACAUUUCACAAUUUUCAUUAAUUGUUCAUGGAUCUUCAAAUUAAGUUUUGCAGCUCUGUCUUGAAAUUUAUAUUUCUGCAAAUCACUC
Non-coding RNA from Pelobates cultripes (western spadefoot toad), 804 nucleotides. The record is from the annotation of a GenBank genome assembly. Lineage: Eukaryota; Metazoa; Chordata; Amphibia; Anura; Pelobatidae.